AUUGAACGCUGGCGGCAGGCCUAACACAUGCAAGUCGAGCGGAUGAGAGGAGCUUGCUCCUCGAUUCAGCGGCGGACGGGUGAGUAAUGCCUAGGAAUCUGCCUAGUAGUGGGGGACAACGUUUCGAAAGGAACGCUAAUACCGCAUACGUCCUACGGGAGAAAGUGGGGGAUCUUCGGACCUCACGCUAUUAGAUGAGCCUAGGUCGGAUUAGCUAGUUGGUAGGGUAAAGGCCUACCAAGGCGACGAUCCGUAACUGGUCUGAGAGGAUGAUCAGUCACACUGGAACUGAGACACGGUCCAGACUCCUACGGGAGGCAGCAGUGGGGAAUAUUGGACAAUGGGCGAAAGCCUGAUCCAGCCAUGCCGCGUGUGUGAAGAAGGCCUUCGGGUCGUAAAGCACUUUAAGUUGGGAGGAAGGGCUCAUAGCGAAUACCUGUGAGUUUUGACGUUACCAACAGAAUAAGCACCGGCUAACUUCGUGCCAGCCGCCGCAGUAA
This 500-nucleotide ribosomal RNA is filed under the name uncultured bacterium. RNAcentral's name for it is "partial 16S ribosomal RNA". It matches the Rfam family "Bacterial small subunit ribosomal RNA", at positions 30 to 523 of the family's 1533-position model. The record is from RNAcentral.